GACGAAACGCCUGGCGGCGUGCCUAAUACAUGCAAGUAGAAACGCUGAAGAGAGGAGCUCGCCCUUUCUCGGAUCGAGUUGCGAAACGGGUGAGUAACGCGUAGGUAACCCGCCUUGUAGCGGGGGAUAACUAUCGGAAACGAUAGCUAAUACCGCAUAACAAUCGGACGACCCACGUCAUCUAUCUGAAAGGGGCAAUCGCUCCACUACAAGAUCGGACCUGCGUUGUAUUAGCUAGUAGGUCGAGGUAACGGCUCACCUAGGCGACGAUACAUAGCCGACCUGAGAGGGUGAUCGGCCACACUGGGACUGAGACACGGCCCAGACUCCUACGGGAGGCAGCAGUAGGGAAUCUUCGGCAAUGGGGGCAACCCUGACCGAGCAACGCCGCGUGAGUGAAGAAAGUUUUCGGAAUCGUAAAGCUCUGUUUGUAAGUCAAGAACGAGUGUGAGAGUGGAAAGUUCACACUGUGACGGUAGCUUACCAGAAAGGGACGGCUAACUACGUGCCAGGCAGCCGCGGUAAUACGUAGGUCCCCGAGCGUUGUCCGGAUUUAUUGGGCGUAAAGCGAGCGCAGGCGGUUUGAUAAGUUCUGAAUUAAAGGCUGUGGCUCAACCAUAGUUCGCUUUGGAAACUGUCAAACUUGAGUGCAGAAGGGGAGAGUGGAAUUCCAUGUGUAGCGGUGAAAUGCGUAGAUAUAUGGAGGAACACCGGUGGCGAAAGCGGCUCUCUGGUCUGUAACUGACGCUGAGGCUCGAAAGCGUGGGGAGCGAACAGGAUUAGAUACCCUGGUAGUCCACGCCGUAAACGAUGAGUGCUAGGUGUUGGAUCCUUUCCGGGAUUCAGUGCCGCAGCUAACGCAUUAAGCACUCCGCCUGGGGAGUACGACCGCAAGGUUGAAACUCAAAGGAAUUGACGGGGGCCCGCACAAGCGGUGGAGCAUGUGGUUUAAUUCGAAGCAACGCGAAGAACCUUACCAGGUCUUGACAUCCCGAUGCUAUUUCUAGAGAUAGAAAGUUGCUUCGGUACAUCGGUGACAGGUGGUGCAUGGUUGUCGUCAGCUCGUGUCGUGAGAUGUUGGGUUAAGUCCCGCAACGAGCGCAACCCCUAUUGUUAGUUGCCAUCAUUCAGUUGGGCACUCUAGCGAGACUGCCGGUAAUAAACCGGAGGAAGGUGGGGAUGACGUCAAAUCAUCAUGCCCCUUAUGACCUGGGCUACACACGUGCUACAAUGGUUGGUACAACGAGUUGCGAGUCGGUGACGGCAAGCUAAUCUCUUAAAGCCAAUCUCAGUUCGGAUUGUAGGCUGCAACUCGCCUACAUGAAGUCGGAAUCGCUAGUAAUCGCGGAUCAGCACGCCGCGGUGAAUACGUUCCCGGGCCU
Molecule: ribosomal RNA, 1382 nt
Filed under: uncultured bacterium
Lineage: Bacteria
Description: bacterial SSU rRNA
Rfam family: Bacterial small subunit ribosomal RNA
Source: RNAcentral